Sphaerodactylus townsendi is the source of this 190-nucleotide long non-coding RNA. RefSeq lists it as uncharacterized. The record is from RefSeq and is a predicted model, not a curated record. Lineage: Eukaryota; Metazoa; Chordata; Lepidosauria; Squamata; Sphaerodactylidae. The transcript is spliced from 4 exons.
AAAUCAACAUGAGUUUCUCAAAAGCAAGUCAUGCCAGACUAAUCUUAUCUCUUUUUUUUGAUAGAGUGACCAACUUGGUAGAUGAAGGGAAUGCUGUGGACAUAGCAUUUCUUGAUUUUAGAAAGGCCUUUGAAAAGGUGCCCCAUGAUAUUCUUGCAAACAAGCUAGAUAAAUGUGGGCAAGACAAUGA